GGGGCUAUGUUGUGAUAUAGAAGAAAGGGCAUCAUUAGUCCCAUAUUGGUUGUAAGUCAAACGUAACUCUGGCUUAUAUAGGAAAUGACCACUCUUUCUAUAUGAGGCUUUUUUUUAAGGACAAAAUCAUAAAACUCAUGGACCAAAAUGAACAAUAUCUUAUGUGUCGAGCCAUAAGUCUUUGACUAUAACACUUAUCACUUAUACCUGCUAUUAGUAGCCAUUUAGCAAAUGGUCUAC
Molecule: long non-coding RNA, 240 nt
Filed under: Elaeis guineensis (African oil palm)
Lineage: Eukaryota; Viridiplantae; Streptophyta; Magnoliopsida; Arecales; Arecaceae
Description: long non-coding RNA (EGUI_LNC018294)
Source: RNAcentral